AGUUGCAAAGCUUUUUGGGAAAUAAACUAGUUGCAGAGCAGCAAAGAUUGGAUCGACAACCUCUAGCCUUAUUUUUUUAUGCUUUUAUCUUUCAAUGGAGUUGUUAUCUAUUGAAAACAGAAGAAGAAAAAAAAAAAAGUGAACAGAUUAAACCUUCCAGCCUCUAGCCUUAUGAUUAUUAUUUUUUAUGCUUUUAUCUUUCAAUGGUGUUGUUAUUUAUAGAAAACGGAGGGAAAAAAGUGAACAGAUAAAACAUUUGUUAUAAUGUAUAAACAAACUCUUGUUCAGGUUAAUAUGUGAUUCAAGUUGGCACUUGAUUGUAAUAAACUCAUUGAUUGU
Molecule: long non-coding RNA, 339 nt
Organism: Magnolia sinica
Lineage: Eukaryota; Viridiplantae; Streptophyta; Magnoliopsida; Magnoliales; Magnoliaceae
Exons: 2
Source: RefSeq, a predicted model, not a curated record